Molecule: ribosomal RNA, 468 nt
Filed under: uncultured bacterium
Lineage: Bacteria
Description: partial 16S ribosomal RNA
Rfam family: Bacterial small subunit ribosomal RNA
Source: RNAcentral
GACGAACGCUGGCGGCGUGCUUAACACAUGCAAGUCGAACGGAAAGGCCCUGCUUUUGUGGGGUUCUCGAGUGGCGAACGGGUGAGUAACACGUGAGUAACCUGCCCUUGACUUUGGGAUAACUUCAGGAAACUGGGGCUAAUACCGGAUAGCAGCUCCUGCUGCAUUGUGGGGGUUGGAUAGUUUCGGCGGUUGGGGAUGGACUCGCGGCUUAUCAGCUUGUUGGUGGGGUAGUGGCUUACCAAGGCUUUGACGGGUAGCCGGCCUGAGAGGGUGACCGGCCACAAUGGGACUGAGAGACGGACCAGAGUCGUACGGGAGGCAGCAGUGGGGAAUAUGGCACAAUGGGCGGGAGCCUGAUGCAGCAACGCCGCGUGCGGGAUGACGGCCUGCGGGUUGUAAACCGCUUUCGCCUGUGACGAAGCGUGAGUGACGGUAAUGGGUAAAGAAGCACCGGCUAACUACGUG